This 494-nucleotide ribosomal RNA is filed under the name uncultured bacterium. RNAcentral's name for it is "partial 16S ribosomal RNA". It matches the Rfam family "Bacterial small subunit ribosomal RNA", at positions 28 to 507 of the family's 1533-position model. The record is from RNAcentral.
GACGAACGCUGGCGACGCGCUUAACACAUGCAAGUCGAACGGAAAGGCCUGCUUUCCCUUGUGGAUUGCGGGUACUCGAGUGGCGAACGGGUGAGUAACACGUGAGUGAUCUGCCCCCAACUUGGGUAUAAGCCUGGGAAACUGGGUCUAAUUCCCGAUAGGACUGCAGGGUGGUGCCUGUGGUGGAAAACGAUUUUCUAGUGGUUGGGGAUGAGCUCGCGGCCUAUCAGCUUGUUGGUGGGGUAAUGGCCUACCAAGGCGGCGACGGGUAGCCGGCCUGAGAGGGUGGACGGCCACAUUGGGACUGAGAUACGGCCCAGACUCCUACGGGAGGCAGCAGUGGGGAAUAUUGCACAAUGGGCGGAAGCCUGAUGCAGCGACGCCGCGUGGGAGAUGACGGCCUUCGGGUUGUAAACUCCUUUCGACCGCGAGGAAGCCACCUGGUUGGAAGGGUGGUGACGGUAGUGGUAGAAGAAGCACCGGCUAACUACGUG